CCGGAGCUUGCUCCACCGGAAAAAGAAGAGUGGCGAACGGGUGAGUAACACGUGGGUAACCUGCCCAUCAGAAGGGGAUAACACUUGGAAACAGGUGCUAAUACCGUAUAACAAUCGAAACCGCAUGGUUUUGAUUUGAAAGGCGCUUUCGGGUGUCGCUGAUGGAUGGACCCGCGGUGCAUUANCUAGUUGGUGAGGUAACGGCUCACCAAGGCCACGAUGCAUAGCCGACCUGAGAGGGUGAUCGGCCACAUUGGGACUGAGACACGGCCCAAACUCCUACGGGAGGCAGCAGUAGGGAAUCUUCGGCAAUGGACGAAAGUCUGACCGAGCAACGCCGCGUGAGUGAAGAAGGUUUUCGGAUCGUAAAACUCUGUUGUUAGAGAAGAACAAGGAUGAGAGUAACUGUUCAUCCCUUGACGGUAUCUAACCAGAAAGCCACGGCUAACUACGUGCCAGCGAGCCGCGGUAAUACGUAGGUGGCAAGCGUUGUCCGGAUUUAUUGGGCGUAAAGCGAGCGCACGC
Molecule: ribosomal RNA, 525 nt
Filed under: uncultured bacterium
Lineage: Bacteria
Description: bacterial SSU rRNA
Rfam family: Bacterial small subunit ribosomal RNA
Source: RNAcentral